GGGGCUUUAGCUCAGUUGGUAGAGCAUCUGCUUUGCAAGCAGGGGGUCAGCGGUUCGAGUCCGCUAAGCUCCA
Molecule: transfer RNA, 73 nt
Filed under: Candidatus Thermochlorobacter aerophilus
Lineage: Bacteria; Pseudomonadati; Chlorobiota; Chlorobiia; Chlorobiales; Candidatus Thermochlorobacteriaceae
Description: Candidatus Thermochlorobacter aerophilum tRNA-Ala
Rfam family: tRNA
About the family: Transfer RNA (tRNA) molecules are approximately 80 nucleotides in length. Their secondary structure includes four short double-helical elements and three loops (D, anti-codon, and T loops).
Source: RNAcentral